This 523-nucleotide ribosomal RNA is filed under the name uncultured Alphaproteobacteria bacterium. RNAcentral's name for it is "bacterial SSU rRNA". It matches the Rfam family "Bacterial small subunit ribosomal RNA", at positions 35 to 612 of the family's 1533-position model. Lineage: Bacteria; Pseudomonadati; Pseudomonadota; Alphaproteobacteria. The record is from RNAcentral.
GCUGGCGGCUGCUACACCUGCAGUCGAACGCUAUUUAUAGAGUGGCGCACGGGUGAGUAACGCGUGGGAACCUGCCUUUUUCUGCGGGAUAACGGUUGGAAACGACCGCUAAUACCGCAUACGCCCUACGGGGGAAAGGUCCGCCGGAGAAAGAGGGGCCCGCGUCUGAUUAGCUAGUUGGUAGGGUAAUGGCCUACCAAGGCGACGAUCAGUAGCUGGUCUGAGAGGAUGAUCAGCCACACUGGGACUGAGACACGGCCCAGACUCCUACGGGAGGCAGCAGUGGGGAAUAUUGGACAAUGGGGGCAACCCUGAUCCAGCAAUGCCGCGUGUGUGAUGAAGGCCUUAGGGUUGUAAAGCACUUUCACUGGUGAAGAUGUUGACGGUAACCAGAGAAGAAGCCCCGGCUAACUUCGUGCCAGCAGCCGCGGUAAUACGAAGGGGGCGAGCGUUGUUCGGAAUUACUGGGCGUAAAGGGCGCGUAGGCGGUCUUUUAAGUUAGGCGUGAAAGCCCCGGGCUCAA